CCUCUUCUACUACACACCAUCUUCGUAUAACCAAUCACAACAUAUAUGACUACUAGAGUCCAUCUAUCCAAUCACACCAAUAGGUGGCGUUGUGCCACUCAUAUAAUUGUAGUUGAGUUGCCAUACAUAAAUUUGUGUUCUAGCUGCCAUAAAUGCAAUAUAAACUGCCAUAUCGAACUUCGUCCAUCAUAUCAUAACCUACGUAAAAACACAACCAAAUCAUAAUCAUAUAUAUCAUACUUACAUAUAUCAUAAACCAUACGUCAUGCAUACUUACAUAGUUACAUAUAAAUCAUAACAUAGCACAUGAUUUAUGUAACACCACUAACUCAUACCCUACGUCAGAACAGGGUUAUGGAGCGUUACCAGACUUAUAACUCAAUUAAUCAAACAUUUCACGUACAUUUCUCAUUCAAAUCAUAAAUCAUUCAAAUUCAUUCAUAUAGUCUCUAAUACGAGCCCUCGAGGCCCUAAAUGGACAUUAAAAAUAGUUCAGGAAUAAAUCGAAUACUCAAGAAAUUUUUCGAAAAACAUGGAAAUUUUUCAAAGGUACAGAGGACACACGCCCAUGUGGCCAGGCCGUGUACCCUUCAAAGUGGCCUCACGCGCCCAUGUGCUAAACCAUGUGAAAACUGGAAGGUUUACUGACUUGUGCCUCACAGCCAAGCCACACGCCCGUGUACUAGGCCGUGUGAAGCUACUGAAUUGAUUUCAAAAGAAGUUACAGGGGACACACGGCCGUGUCACCUGACCGUGUGUCACACACGAUAGAGACACACACCCGUGUCUCUGCCCGUGUGGACAAAAACAGGUCAUUUUCUAAGCCAUAUUUCUCACCUAAAUUGGAACCAACUUAAACACAACAAUUUGCAUAUAACCAUGGCAUAAAUAGGCAUUCAAAACCAACCAAUAUCAAGCUUAUAACAUGUUAUAAUAUCGCAUACCAUCAUGAUACAUAUUGGCACCUCAAUUGGCCACUUAUAAUUAUGCAAACUAAUUGAUACCCAAAAAUCCCAUUUACAACUAUCACACACGCAUAUGAUAGACAUGUAUCAAUAUGACAAGGCCAUUUACUCAUAUAUACAUAACAAAUUGUAUCAAAAUAAGCCAAAUCAAAUGACUAAAUACUUGACCAAACCAUAUAGACUGCAUUAGCCAUACAACCUAUACAUGCCAUUAUAACCAAAACUAUAAAACCAUAAGUACCAAAAUAGCCGAUAGAUAAUGUGAUGAAAUCCCCGACAACUUCCAACUCGAAUGAGCUUCCGAAACAUUAUAAAUCACGGAAAAAUAAAACAGAGUAAGCAAUUAAGCUUUGUAAGUUCGUAACUAAAAAAAAUAAAGUUCACUACUUCAAUUUAUAAGCAUAAUCCAUUUAAGUCAAUCCAACGUGUCUUAGCCUUAGCUUAAGCAACAAUAACCUUUCAAGGUUAAAUAUCACAAUUUAAUUUAGCCCAAAAGCCUAACAUAUAAUCAUCAACCAAGUUAGCCUUAUAAACACAUAUAUAAACCAAAAAUCACCUUUUCAUGAUCACAAACAUAUUUCCAUUAAAGCAUUCACCAUUGCAAUGCAUAAUAUAAAAGUUUAACAUGGUAUAAUCCAACCACAACUUGGCCAAAGCCUAAGCACAUAUACAACAACCAUGUUAGUCAUGUAAAUUCACCUAUGAAUCAAUAAUCAUGGAUGAACUCAAUAAUUAAUCAAGUUGCAUAAACAUUAUUAUUAUUAUUAUUAUUAUUACUAUUAUUAUUAUUACUAUUACUAUUAUUAUUAUUAUUACUAUUACUAUUACUAUUACUAUUUCUAUUACUAUUACUAUUACUAUUACUAUUUUUACUAUUACUAUUACUAUUACUAUUACUAUUAUUAUUACUAUUAUUAUUAUUAUUAUUAAUACUAUUAUUAUUAAUAAUACUAUUACUAUUAUUAUUACUAUUACUAUUAUUAUUAUACUAUUACUAUUAUUAUUAUUAUAAUUAUUACUAUUAUUAUUAUUACUAUUAUUAUUAUUAUUAUUAUUAUUAUUACGAUUAUUAUUAUUACUAUUAUUAUUAUUAUUACUAUUAUUAUUAUUAUUAUUACUAUUAUUACUAUUAUUAUUAUUACUAUUAUUAUUAUGAUUAUUAUUAUUAUUACUAUUAUUAUUAUUAUUACUAUUAUUAUUACCUAAUACCAACCUAAUAUGUCAAAUUUCAUGAUUGAAAUCCAUGUACAUCCACUCCCUCAAUUAAUGGUUUUAUUACUCAAUAAGGACCUCCACAUUAAAUUUCUAUAGCUAUUUAAUAGUUUAAGCUAAUAGGACACAACUUUCGCUCUUUACACAAUUUAGUCCUUUUUAUCAAAUUGAACAUGUAAACGAUAAAAUUUCCUAACGAAAUUUUUAUACCAUAUCACUAUCAUGCUGUAGAUCAUAUAAUAAUAUAAAAUCAAUUUUUCUACAUCGAAUUUGUGGUCCCGAAAUCACUGUUCUUAUUUCACUAAAAAUGGGCAGUUAUUAUUUAAUGGUAACAUUUCCUACUUAGCACACUUCCUAAGCCUACCCACACGACCUGCAAAAAUUACACACGAACACAACCAGGUUGCAAAACACAAAUAGUCAUAUGGCCUACACACACAGCUGGGUGGCAACACACAAUUAGUCAUAUAGCCUACACACAUGACCGUGUGACACUGGGCAGUUUUGAAAUACAACCUAGUUUCGCGAUUAAAUCGAGUUUUUGGGUUGAAUUCACACACCUGAUAGCGAGAUUGAUCCACCACACAACCGAACACCUAGAACCCUACAAACGGAAUCAAAACUAAACCUUUAAAAAUUCGAUUUAGCACAAAGAUUUCCAUUUAAAUUCACUCUUUUCUCAAGAAAAUAGUCCCUAAAUCAAUAAUGAGCACUUACCGUAACUUAUAGCGACUUCUCCAAGAACUUAAUUUGUUAGAGGAUCGUCUAUCACCACACGCUCUUUUCCUAAAACAAAAGAUUCCACAAUAAAUAAAAUUUCAUCACAAGGAGAAUCCAAAUCAAUACCCAAAGCCUUUAAUAAAAAAUGAACUUAAAUUGCAAAAUACCAUAUCAAGCAAUUAAAUAACAAAAUCAAAACCCCGAAUUACUCAAGACAAGUAAAGAUCCCAAAACUCACCAACGGCACCUUACAAGAUCAGCGUCUAAAUGGCCUUAAGCAACGAACAAGAAAUUUCCCACAAAAUUAAAGAACUAACAAAAUAGAAAAAGAAAAUAACAAGAGAAAAAAAUAAUUUGACAGAUGUCGCAACAACAAGACCAACCCCAAAGCUAAUUGAAAAGCAAAGAAAACAAAAAACAAAUGAAAACAAGUAGUAGCAAUAGCAAAAAGGGAGAAUUUGGAUGGCAGCGGGAAGGUAAGAAACGUGAGCAAGG
Molecule: long non-coding RNA, 3392 nt
Filed under: Gossypium barbadense (sea-island cotton)
Lineage: Eukaryota; Viridiplantae; Streptophyta; Magnoliopsida; Malvales; Malvaceae
Description: long non-coding RNA (GBAR_LNC001809)
Source: RNAcentral